RNAcentral lists this ribosomal RNA (252 nucleotides) under uncultured bacterium. RNAcentral describes it as "partial 16S ribosomal RNA". It matches the Rfam family "Bacterial small subunit ribosomal RNA", at positions 524 to 776 of the family's 1533-position model. The record is from RNAcentral.
UACGGAGGAUGCGAGCGUUAUCCGGAUUUAUUGGGUUUAAAGGGUGCGUAGGCGGGAUGCCAAGUCAGCGGUAAAAAUGCGGCGCUCAACGCCGUCGAGCCGUUGAAACUGGCGUUCUCGAGUGGGCGAGAAGUAUGCGGAAUGCGUGGUGUAGCGGUGAAAUGCAUAGAUAUCACGCAGAACUCCGAUUGCGAAGGCAGCAUACCGGCGCCCUACUGACGCUGAGGCACGAAAGCGUGGGUAUCGAACAGG